RNAcentral lists this ribosomal RNA (772 nucleotides) under uncultured bacterium. Its description in RNAcentral is "bacterial SSU rRNA". It matches the Rfam family "Bacterial small subunit ribosomal RNA", at positions 8 to 827 of the family's 1533-position model. The record is from RNAcentral.
AGAGUUUGAUCCUGGCUCAAAACGAACGCUGGCGGCAGGCCUAACACAUGCAAGUCGAGCGAGACCUUCGGGUCUGGCGGCGGACGGGUUAGUAACGCGUGGGAACGUGCCCUUCUCUGCGGAAUAGCCACUGGAAACGGUGAGUAAUACCGCAUACGCCCUUCGGGGGAAAGAUUUAUCGGAGAAGGAUCGGCCCGCGUUAGAUUAGAUAGUUGGUGGGGUAAUGGCCUACCAAGUCUACGAUCUAUAGCUGGUUUUAGAGGAUGAUCAGCAACACUGGGACUGAGACACGGCCCAGACUCCUACGGGAGGCAGCAGUGGGGAAUCUUACACAAUGGGCGCAAGCCUGAUCUAGCCAUGCCGCGUGUGUGAUGAAGGUCUUAGGAUCGUAAAGCACUUUCGCCAGGGAUGAUAAUGACAGUACCUGGUAAAGAAACCCCGGCUAACUCCGUGCCAGCAGCCGCGGUAAUACGGAGGGGGUUAGCGUUGUUCGGAAUUACUGGGCGUAAAGCGUACGUAGGCGGAUCAGAAAGUUGGGGGUGAAAUCCCGGGGCUCAACCCCGGGACUGCCUCCAAAACUCCUGGUCUUGAGUUCGAGAGAGGUGAGUGGAAUUCCAAGUGUAGAGGUGAAAUUCGUAGAUAUUUGGAGGAACACCAGUGGCGAAGGCGGCUCACUGGCUCGAUACUGACGCUGAGGUACGAAAGUGUGGGGAGCAAACAGGAUUAGAUACCCUGGUAGUCCCCCCGUAAACGAUGAAUGCCAGUCGUCGGG